GACGAACGCUGGCGGCGUGCUUAACACAUGCCAGUCGAACGGAAAGGCCCUGCUUUUGUGGGGUGCUCGAGUGGCGAACGGGUGAGUAACACGUGAGUAACCUGCCCUUGACUUUGGGAUAACUUCAGGAAACUGGGGCUAAUACCGGAUAGGAGCUCCUGCUGCAUGGUGGGGGUUGGAAAGUUUCGGCGGUUGGGGAUGGACUCGCGGCUUAUCAGCUUGUUGGUGGGGUAGUGGCUUACCAAGGCUUUGACGGGUAGCCGGCCUGGGAGGGUGACCGGCCACAUUGGGACUGAGAUACGGACCAGACUCCUACGGGAGGCAGCAGGGGGGAAUAUUGCACAAUGGGCGGAAGCCUGAUGCAGCAACGCCGCGUGCGGGAUGACGGCCUUCGGGUUGUAAACCGCUUUCGCCUGUGACGAAGCGUGAGUGACGGUAAUGGGUAAAGAAGCACCGACUAACUACGUG
This 468-nucleotide ribosomal RNA is filed under the name uncultured bacterium. RNAcentral describes it as "partial 16S ribosomal RNA". It matches the Rfam family "Bacterial small subunit ribosomal RNA", at positions 28 to 507 of the family's 1533-position model. The record is from RNAcentral.